GCUCAAGUGGCGAAAUUGGUAGACGCGCUGGAUUCAAAAUCCAGUGACUUCGGUCGUGUGGGUUCGAUUCCCACCUUGAGUA
Molecule: transfer RNA, 82 nt
Filed under: Formosa sp. Hel1_31_208
Lineage: Bacteria; Pseudomonadati; Bacteroidota; Flavobacteriia; Flavobacteriales; Flavobacteriaceae
Rfam family: tRNA
About the family: Transfer RNA (tRNA) molecules are approximately 80 nucleotides in length. Their secondary structure includes four short double-helical elements and three loops (D, anti-codon, and T loops).
Source: Rfam by way of RNAcentral